UGGGGAAUAUUGCACAAUGGGCGCAAGCCUGAUGCAGCAAUGCCGCGUGUGUGAAGAAGGCCUUCGGGUUGUAAAUCUCUUUCAUCAAUGAUGAUAAUGACAUUAGUUGAAGAAGAAACCCCGGCUAACUCCGUGCCAGCAGCCGCGGUAAUACGGAGGGGGUUAGCGUUGUUCGGAAUUACUGGGCGUAAAGCGUACGUAGGCGGAUUAGUCAGUCAGAGGUGAAAUCCCAGGGCUCAACCCUGGAACUGCCUUUGAUACUGCUAGUCUUGAGUUCGAGAGAGGUGAGUGGAAUUCCAAGUGUAGAGGUGAAAUUCGUAGAUAUUUGGAGGAACACCAGUGGCGAAGGCGGCUCACUGGCUCGAUACUGACGCUGAGGUACGAAAGUGUGGGGAGCAAACA
RNAcentral lists this ribosomal RNA (402 nucleotides) under uncultured Alphaproteobacteria bacterium. RNAcentral's name for it is "bacterial SSU rRNA". It matches the Rfam family "Bacterial small subunit ribosomal RNA", at positions 355 to 774 of the family's 1533-position model. Lineage: Bacteria; Pseudomonadati; Pseudomonadota; Alphaproteobacteria. The record is from RNAcentral.